GGGCGGUUAGCUCAGUUGGUUAGAGCAUCACGUUGACAUCGUGGGGGUCGUUAGUUCGAAUCUAAUAUCGCCCA
This 74-nucleotide transfer RNA is filed under the name Candidatus Treponema caballi. RNAcentral describes it as "tRNA-Val". It matches the Rfam family "tRNA". From Rfam's summary of the family: Transfer RNA (tRNA) molecules are approximately 80 nucleotides in length. Their secondary structure includes four short double-helical elements and three loops (D, anti-codon, and T loops). Further hydrogen bonds mediate the characteristic L-shaped molecular structure. tRNAs have two regions of fundamental functional importance: the anti-codon, which is responsible for specific mRNA codon recognition, and the 3' end, to which the tRNAs corresponding amino acid is attached (by aminoacyl-tRNA synthetases). tRNAs cope with the degeneracy of the genetic code in two manners: having more than one tRNA (with a specific anti-codon) for a particular amino acid; and 'wobble' base-pairing, i.e. permitting non-standard base-pairing at the 3rd anti-codon position. Lineage: Bacteria; Pseudomonadati; Spirochaetota; Spirochaetia; Treponematales; Treponemataceae. The record is from RNAcentral.